GGAGCUGAGAGUGUACUGCUGGAGAAUGGAGGUGUACAAGCAUUAUCAGACACCAGGAGGAAGGUCCUGUGGCCCAGGUCAUGGCAGGUGGAACACACCAGAUCAAGGCUUCUCUGAAUUUGGUUCCAGGACCUACCCUAGAUGAGCCAGUUGUCGAGAUAUUGGAAUACCUGGACCCCUCAACGUCUGAGGUGCCUGGUGAGACUGACAAGACUUAGGCAGCAGUGGCAGCCAGAACUGCUUCCUCGCAGGCUGUGGUGAAUGCAUUCCCAGCAAGCGAAGGGUGGCCCUGCUGUCUUUCAGCCCAUGCAGCAUUGCAUUAGUCUGGUCUGAAAAGAGACCAUUCUCAUCUAAUGGGAGGUCUUGGAUGGAGAUUUGCAUUUCCUGGGAGAGACCUGCAGUCUGAAGCCAGGAGCUGUGCCUCAUCACCACUGCGACCAUCCUGGAUGCCAAGCCCAUGUCCCACACUGUCUGGAGGGAGCACCUGGCAGCUGCAGUGCCCUCCUCCAUCAGAUGCCAAAUUCUUGGGCCAACCCCUGUGGAAGGGACUCCUUGAACUUAUGGAGAGAGUCCCAUAAGUUAAAGUUGUAACAGCUCAACCAGGGCCUGAUGGUUCGCCGCCCGGAACUGCACGGCGAAUAAAUUUUUCUCCCAAACA
Long non-coding RNA from Mauremys reevesii (Reeves's turtle), 658 nucleotides. RefSeq lists it as uncharacterized. The transcript has 3 exons. Lineage: Eukaryota; Metazoa; Chordata; Testudines; Geoemydidae. The record is from RefSeq and is a predicted model, not a curated record.